This 492-nucleotide ribosomal RNA is filed under the name uncultured bacterium. Its description in RNAcentral is "partial 16S ribosomal RNA". It matches the Rfam family "Bacterial small subunit ribosomal RNA", at positions 28 to 507 of the family's 1533-position model. The record is from RNAcentral.
GAUGAACGCUAGCUACAGGCUUAACACAUGCAAGUCGAGGGGAAACGACAUCGAAAGCUUGCUUUUGAUGGGCGUCGACCGGCGCACGGGUGAGUAACGCGUAUCCAACCUGCCCAUCACUUGGGGAUAACCUUGCGAAAGUAAGACUAAUACCCAAUGAUAUCUCUAGAAGACAUCUGAAAGAGAUUAAAGAUUUAUCGGUGAUGGAUGGGGAUGCGUCUGAUUAGCUUGUUGGCGGGGUAACGGCCCACCAAGGCAACGAUCAGUAGGGGUUCUGAGAGGAAGGUCCCCCACAUUGGAACUGAGACACGGUCCAAACUCCUACGGGAGGCAGCAGUGAGGAAUAUUGGUCAAUGGGCGAGAGCCUGAACCAGCCAAGUAGCGUGCAGGAAGACGGCCCUAUGGGUUGUAAACUGCUUUUAUAAGGGAAUAAAGUGAGAGUCGGGACUCUUUUCGUAUGUACCUUAUGAAUAAGGACCGGCUAAUUCCGUG